CCAAUAGCGUAUAUUAAAGUUGUUGCAGUUAAAAAGCUCGUAGUUGAAUUUUAGUCCUGGCCGGGCGGUCCGUCUUUGGCGAGUACUGUCCUGUGUCGGGUCUUCCUUCUGGUGAACCGGUAUGUCCUUUAUUGGGUGUGCCGGGGAGCCAGGACCAUUACCUUGAAAAAAUUAGAGUGUUUAAAGCGGGCAUUUGCUUGAAUAGAUUAGCAUGGAAUAAUAGAAUAGGACGUUGUGGUUCUAUUUUGUUGGUUUCUAGGACCACCGUAAUGAUUAAUAGGGAUAGUUGGGGGCAUUAGUAUUCAAUUGUCAGAGGUGAAAUUCUUGGAUUUAUUGAAGACUAACUACUGCGAAAGCAUUUGCCAAGGAUGUUUUCAUUAAUCAAGAACGAAAGUUAGGGGAUCGAAGACGAUCAGAUACCGUCGUAGUCUUAACCAUAAACUAUGCCGACUAGGAAUCGGGCGACGUUAUUUUCAUGACUCGCUCGGCGCCUUAUG
RNAcentral lists this ribosomal RNA (497 nucleotides) under uncultured Glomeromycotina. RNAcentral's name for it is "partial small subunit ribosomal RNA". It matches the Rfam family "Eukaryotic small subunit ribosomal RNA", at positions 591 to 1092 of the family's 1831-position model. The record is from RNAcentral. Lineage: Eukaryota; Fungi; Glomeromycota.